UGUUGGCUUAGAAGCAGCCAUCAUUUAAAGAAAGCGUAAUAGCUCACUGGUCGAGUCGGCCUGCGCGGAAGAUGUAACGGGGCUAAACCAUGCACCGAAGCUGCGGCAGCGAACGUAUCACCCAAGACAACUUUACGGAGUUGACGAUUGACGGAGCGAAGCGACGUCAAAGCGUUCAUUAAAGUCGAGUUGGCUUAGGGAUACGUUCGUUGGGUAGGGGAGCGUUCUGUAAGCCUGUGAAGGUGUGUCGUGAGGCAUGCUGGAGGUAUCAGAAGUGCGAAUGCUGACAUAAGUAACGAUAAAGCGGGUGAAAAGCCCGCUCGCCGGAAGACCAAGGGUUCCUGUCCAACGUUAAUCGGGGCAGGGUGAGUCGACCCCUAAGGCGAGGCCGAAAGGCGUAGUCGAUGGGAAACGGGUUAAUAUUCCCGUACUUGGUGUUACUGCGAAGGGGGGACGGAGAAGGCUAUGUUGGCCGGGCGACGGUUGUCCCGGUUUAAGCGUGUAGGUGUGUGUUCCAGGUAAAUCCGGUUCACUUUAACACUGAGGCGUGACGACGAGGCACUACGGUGCUGAAGCAACAAAUGCCCUGCUUCCAGGAAAAGCCUCUAAGCAUCAGGUAACAUCAAAUCGUACCCCAAACCGACACAGGUGGUCAGGUAGAGAAUACCAAGGCGCUUGAGAGAACUCGGGUGAAGGAACUAGGCAAAAUGGUGCCGUAACUUCGGGAGAAGGCACGCUGACACGUAGGUGAAGUGAUUUACUCAUGGAGCUGAAGUCAGUCGAAGAUACCAGCUGGCUGCAACUGUUUAUUAAAAACACAGCACUGUGCAAACACGAAAGUGGACGUAUACGGUGUGACGCCUGCCCGGUGCCGGAAGGUUAAUUGAUGGGGUCAGCGCAAGCGAAGCUCCUGAUCGAAGCCCCGGUAAACGGCGGCCGUAACUAUAACGGUCCUAAGGUAGCGAAAUUCCUUGUCGGGUAAGUUCCGACCUGCACGAAUGGCGUAAUGAUGGCCAGGCUGUCUCCACCCGAGACUCAGUGAAAUUGAACUCGCUGUGAAGAUGCAGUGUACCCGCGGCAAGACGGAAAGACCCCGUGAACCUUUACUAUAGCUUGACACUGAACAUUGAGCCUUGAUGUGUAGGAUAGGUGGGAGGCUUUGAAGUGUGGACGCCAGUCUGCAUGGAGCCGACCUUGAAAUACCACCCUUUAAUGUUUGAUGUUCUAACGUGGACCCGUAAUCCGGGUUGCGGACAGUGUCUGGUGGGUAGUUUGACUGGGGCGGUCUCCUCCUAAAGAGUAACGGAGGAGCACGAAGGUUGGCUAAUCCUGGUCGGACAUCAGGAGGUUAGUGCAAUGGCAUAAGCCAGCUUGACUGCGAGCGUGACGGCGCGAGCAGGUGCGAAAGCAGGUCAUAGUGAUCCGGUGGUUCUGAAUGGAAGGGCCAUCGCUCAACGGAUAAAAGGUACUCCGGGGAUAACAGGCUGAUACCGCCCAAGAGUUCAUAUCGACGGCGGUGUUUGGCACCUCGAUGUCGGCUCAUCACAUCCUGGGGCUGAAGUAGGUCCCAAGGGUAUGGCUGUUCGCCAUUUAAAGUGGUACGCGAGCUGGGUUUAGAACGUCGUGAGACAGUUCGGUCCCUAUCUGCCGUGGGCGCUGGAGAACUGAGGGGGGCUGCUCCUAGUACGAGAGGACCGGAGUGGACGCAUCACUGGUGUUCGGGUUGUCAUGCCAAUGGCACUGCCCGGUAGCUAAAUGCGGAAGAGAUAAGUGCUGAAAGCAUCUAAGCACGAAACUUGCCCCGA
Molecule: ribosomal RNA, 1805 nt
Filed under: Salmonella enterica
Lineage: Bacteria; Pseudomonadati; Pseudomonadota; Gammaproteobacteria; Enterobacterales; Enterobacteriaceae
Description: partial 23S ribosomal RNA
Rfam family: Bacterial large subunit ribosomal RNA
Source: RNAcentral